CAAAGCUUGGUUUGGAGUGGUUUCCGCCCUUUAUUGCUGAACUUAACGCAUUAAUCACUCCCCCGGGGGAGUACGGCCGCAGGGCUGAAACUCAAAGGAAUUGACGGGGGCCCCCACAACCGGUGGACCAUGUGGUUUAAUUCAAACCACCGCGAAAAACCUUACCGGGUCUUGACAUCCUCUGAAAACCCUAAAAAUAGGGCUUCUCCUUCGGGAGCAAAAUGACAGGUGGUGCAUGGUUGUCGUCAGCUCGUGUCGUGAGAUGUGGGGUUAAUUCCCGCAACAAGCGCACCCCUUGAUCUUAGUUCCCAUCAUUAAAUUGGGCACUCUAAGGUGACUGCCGGUGACCAACCGGAGGAAGGUGGGGAUGAAAUCAAAUCAUCAUGCCCCUUAUGACCUGGGCUACACACGUGCUACAAUGGACGGUACAAAGGGCUGCAACACCGCGAGGUGGAGCUAUUCUCAUAAAACCGUUCUCAGUUCGGAUUGUAGGCUGCAACUCUCCUCCGUGAAUCUGGAAUCCCUAAUAAUCUCGAAUCAGGGUGCGGCCAUGAAUAUUUUCCUGGGCCUUGUACCCUCCGCCCGUCACCCCCCCGAGAGUUUGUUUAAACCCCGAAAAUCGCUUGGCCUAAACUUUUGG
Molecule: ribosomal RNA, 640 nt
Filed under: Bacillus toyonensis
Lineage: Bacteria; Bacillati; Bacillota; Bacilli; Caryophanales; Bacillaceae
Also listed under: 1 other name
Description: bacterial SSU rRNA
Rfam family: Bacterial small subunit ribosomal RNA
Source: RNAcentral